AAUUUGGCACAAUUGUGGAAACCCUGAUCCAGCCAUCCUUCGUGUAUUAUGAAGGUCUUCGAGUUGUCUUGUACUUUUGGCAGCGAAUAAAAGGUAUCCACUACUACUGGAUACUGCUGACGUUAUCUUCAGAAUAAGCACCGGUGAACUACGUGCCAUCAGCCGCGGUAAUACGUAGGGUGCAAGCGUUAAUCGGAAUUACUCGGUGUAAAGCAUGUGUAGGCGGUUCGGAAAGAAAGAUGUGAAAUCCCAGGGCUCAACCUUGGAACUGCAUUUUUAACUGCCGAGCUAGAGUAUGUCAGAGGGGGGUAGAAUUCCACGUGUAGCAGUGAAAUGCGUAGAUAUGUGGAGGAAUACCGAUGGCGAAGGCAGCCCCCUGGGAUAAUACUGACGCUCAGACACGAAAGCGUGGGGAGCAAACAGG
Molecule: ribosomal RNA, 424 nt
Filed under: uncultured bacterium
Lineage: Bacteria
Description: partial 16S ribosomal RNA
Rfam family: Bacterial small subunit ribosomal RNA
Source: RNAcentral